Molecule: RNA transcript, 3161 nt
Organism: Humulus lupulus (European hop)
Lineage: Eukaryota; Viridiplantae; Streptophyta; Magnoliopsida; Rosales; Cannabaceae
Gene name: putative disease resistance protein RGA3
Exons: 4
Source: RefSeq, a predicted model, not a curated record
GAAUCUCUUAUAAAUCGAUUAAAAUAAUAUAUAAGAAAGCUGUAACAAAGAACACCACUCGCUCAUACAGUUUUAUCUACCAAUAUCGAUCCAAAAUCUCUUCUCUCCUCUCUCCUUUUUCUCAUUGUUCUGUAUCAGAAACCAAACCGUUUUCCUUUCAUAUAUAUAUAUAUAUAUAAGCUAUGGCGGAAGUUCUGGUCUCCUUGGUCCUGCAGCAGUUGGCUUCCUUCACUUGUCAACAGAUAGAACACGAAUGGAGUCUGGUUAGCAGUGUUGAGGAGAAAGUUAAAAGCCUCUACAGCAAUCUCGAAGACAUUCAAAUGGUGCUUGUGGACGCAGAUAAAAGGCAGGUCAGCGAAGCAAGUGUGAAACGGUGGCUGGAUAAGCUGAAAGAAGUGUCUUACGAGAUCGACACUACGGUGGAUGAGUGGAACACCGCCAUUGCUCUCCGAUCUAAUCUUAAGCUUUUCAGCAAGGUAUGCUUCUCUACACUUCCUUCUCUGCAUCGUAAUCAUGUUCAUCGACCGGGAUUGCAUCGUAGAGUAGCUUCCAAGAUAGACAGAUUGAAUGAAAAGCUUAGUAGAAUUUCCACUGAGAAAGAAAGAUACACUUUUACAACUCAGAAUUUCAGUAGGCACACUUUAGGAACAACAUCAUAUUCAACUGAAUAUGACCAUCGUAAAAAUACUACAUCAUUUGUUGAUGUGUCUAAAGUGUGUGGUCGAGAGAGGGAGAAAGAAAUUUUAAUAGAGAAGUUGCUCGUGAGUGGUGGUGGUGAUGAGAGCAAACACCAUAUCAUUCCUCUUGUAGGAAUGGGGGGAAUCGGUAAAACCACCCUAGCCCAAUUGGUGUAUAACGAUGAAAAAGUUAAUGAUCAUUUUAACUUGAAAAUUUGGGUGUGUGUAUCCGACCCAUUUGAUGAGAUAACAAUUGCUAACCAAAUUUGUGUGGCUCUUAAAGUUGAAGAUGCCCACAAAUUUGUUGCAUUGGAUCCAUUACUAAAACAAAUUAAGAAAAACAUAGUGGGAAAGAAAUUUCUUCUUGUUUUAGACGAUGUGUGGACCGAAGAUGAUAGGAGAUGGGAACCAUUAGAAGAGUCUCUCAAGAAUGGAGUUGAAGGAAGUAAAAUAUUAGUGACAACUCGCAAGAAACGUGUUGCUACUAUGAUGAAGGUGAAAGAAGAUCGUAUCAUCUCCAUUAGUCACUUAUCAGAGGAGGUGUGUCUCAAUAUAUUUAACCAACUAGCAUUCCUAAAUAACGAGAGUCAAGAGAGCCUAAAAGAAAUAGGUGUGAAAAUUGCACAAAAGUGUAAAGGUUUACCGCUUGUUGCUAAGGCACUAGGAAGUCUUGUGCGUUUUAAAAAGCCCACCAAAAAACACUGGAAUGAAGUUUUGGACAGUAAAUUAUGGGAAUUAGGAGAUCAAGUUGAAAAUGAAGUUUUUGUUCCAUUCUUGUUGAGUUAUUAUGAUUUGCCCCCUCUUGAAAAGCGUUGUUUGUUAUAUUGCUCAAUUUUCCCAAAAGAUUAUGAAAUUGAUAGAGUUGAAUUGAUACAAUUGUGGAUGUCUCAAGGCUAUUUGAGUAGUUCAGAAGAGGAUGAGAGAAAAGGCAUAGAUUGCUUUGAGAAUUUAGCUACGCGCUGUUUUUUUCAAGAUUUUAAAACAGAUGAAGAGGAAAACAUUAUAAGAUGCAAGAUGCAUCAUAUAGUGCAUGAUUUUGUGUUGUUCCUCACAAAGAAUGAUUGUUUUAACUCAGUCAUAAUUACGAAGAAUGAUGAAAUGAAUCUACUAUGUGCAAAAGUUUUUCAUUGUACGUUAUUACUUGAGUCUGAGGAACAUGUAGUGCCUUCCUCACUUUACAGCAAAAAAAACUUACGCACGCUGUCAAUAGUUGGGAAGCAUGAGUCUGGGUCUAUAAGAUGGGAUUUGUUGUUGAAGUUAACAUGUCUUAGGACUUUGAGUUUGAGUGGUUGCUUAAGUCAAGGAUCAAGAAUACCUAAAGAUAUUGAUAAAUUGAUCCUUCUGAGAUAUCUCAAUCUAUCAAAUAAUAGACCACUAGAGCUUCCAGAAACACUGGGAAUUCUUUUCAAUUUGCAAACUUUAAAAUUGGAGGAAAGUAGUGGUUGGCUUCCAAAAGAGAUUGGAAAACUUGUUAACUUACGCCAUUUGUAUUUGGGUUAUUGUCAUUGUAAAUUUCCAGAAGAAUUGGGAAAAUUAACUGGCCUCCAGACUCUAGAAUCCCAAUAUUUUGAUACAUUAGAUGUUGACAGAAUGGGAAAAGUGUUUCAAAGUUGGAUGACGUCAUUAAAUAAUUUGAAAAGCCUUAAGCUGAAAAUUUGCAGUGGUAAGUCUUUAGGGCCUUUUGGAAAACUCCCCUCCCUCGAAUCGCUUACUUUAAAUAUUGUGAGGUCGGUGCAAACUGUGAGCAAUGAAUUCUUGGGAAUAGAAGACACAACAACGGAGACGCCAGCUGCAUUCCCCAAAUUGAAACGAUUGCACUUCAAAAAAUUUAGUGAUUGGAUAGAGUGGAAAUCAGAUGUAAGUUCAGAUGAUCAAAUAAUGCCAUGCCUUCAAUCCUUGAAAAUUGAAGACUGUUACAAGCUAGAAGCACCGCUUCCGAGGUUCUUACAAAGGACACCACCGCUUAAGAUCUUAACCAUAGAAUACUGUGACAGGUUGCAACCACUUCUGGAAGAAGGAUUAGGGACAGAGGAGUUGGUCAACAUUCUUACAUCGGUUAGAAGAACUAGAUCUUAAGAGUCAACUUCAAUCGAAUGAGUUCAACAAUAUUUCUUGAUGAACUACCUGAGGAUGCCUUUGGUGAUGUCGAUGGAAUACAAUCAUGUUGAUUUGACUAAACAUAAUUCAUGGAGGUGAUGGUUUCUCGUAUUCUUCUCAGACGGAGUAAUGGGUGGUAUCUAUGUCUUCGAAUAUUAUUCAGAUCCUAUAAAUAUCUAUUAUCGUGUUAUUAAUUUUUUCUGUGUGCUUUGUUUGGAUUGUAAAAAAUUCCCUGAACAAUUAUGCAUUAUUCUUCUUCAUUAAUAAAUCUUCAAGUCUUAUGGAUAGUGGACAAAUGAUGAGAGUGUUAGUUGGGUGCCAACAUAGUUGGGAUGCUUCUAAUUCUUACUGAUGUUCAUUUCGUAAGUCUAGUUAUUUUUUAUCAAA